CUUUCUUUGCUGGCGACCGGCGCACGGGUGAGUAACACGUAUCCAACCUGCCCUUUACUCGGGGAUAGCCUUUCGAAAGAGAGAUUAAUACCCGAUAGCAUAAUGAUUCCGCAUGGUUUCAUUAUUAAAGGAUUCCGGUAAAGGAUGGGGAUGCGUUCCAUUAGGUUGUUGGUGAGGUAACGGCCCACCAAGCCUUCGAUGGAUAGGGGUUCUGAGAGGAAGGUCCCCCACAUUGGAACUGAGACACGGUCCAA
This 254-nucleotide ribosomal RNA is filed under the name uncultured bacterium. RNAcentral's name for it is "partial 16S ribosomal RNA". It matches the Rfam family "Bacterial small subunit ribosomal RNA", at positions 79 to 334 of the family's 1533-position model. The record is from RNAcentral.